This is a long non-coding RNA of Canis lupus familiaris (dog), 3754 nucleotides long. RefSeq lists it as uncharacterized. The transcript is spliced from 3 exons. Lineage: Eukaryota; Metazoa; Chordata; Mammalia; Carnivora; Canidae. The record is from RefSeq and is a predicted model, not a curated record.
AGUCUGGUACACAUUUCUUUUUGUGUCCUGUGGGCUCUAAUCAUUGUCCUUAAGUAUUUCUGGGGAAGCCAGGUAUUGGGCUCUGUUUCAGUGAGUCAUUUCCGAAGCUCAUAGGCCUCAGCUGUAGCCUGGAAGGAGGCAGGUGUGGUCCCGUGUACGGGGACGCUGCCUCUUGCAUGGCCUCCUGCAGUGCCUGAGCGUCCUGCAGGAGGCGCCCGAGCCCAGGCCCUGCUCAAGGGCUGGGAAGGCUCAGUAGGCCUCGUCCACCUGCAAUAACAGGAGCCCACCUGUGCUGGGGAGGCCUGAGGAGGACAUGGGGACGCAUCCACGCUGAUGAGCCCCGGUCUCCUCAGGAACCGCGGUGAGGCUUCAGGAAGAUGUGAGCCCGCAUCCACCCUGACAGGAACACCUGGGCCGCUUCAGGACCUGCAGGGAGGCUUCAGGAAGCUGUGGUGCCACUUCCACUCUGGCAGGAGCUCCCGGGCCGCUCAGGACAUAAGUUGAGGCUUCUGGAAGGUGGGGGCCGCAUCCACGGUGUCAGGAGCCCUGGCCUCCUCAGAACCCGCAGUGACGUUAUGGGAGGACAUGGGGCCACGCCCACACCACAACGCUGACGUCUUCAGAACCCCCGGUGUAGACUUCGGGAAAUAUGGGGAUGCUUCCAUGCAGACAGAAGACCCCAGCCUUGUCAGGGCCUGUGGUGAGGCAUAAGAAAGAUGUGGGUGCCGAAUCCACACUGACAGGAGUCUCUGGCCUCCUCAGGACCUGCCCUUUGGCUUCGGGAUAUAUGGGGCUGUGUUUAUGCUGACAGGAGCCCACAGCCCCCUCAGGACCCGCGGUGAGUUUUCUGGGGGCCAUGGGGCCAUGUCCAGGCUUACAGGAGCCCUCGGCCUCCUGAGGACCUGCUGUGAGGCUUCCAGAGGAUGUGAGGCAUAGUCCACAGUGACAGGAGACCCGGCGUCCUCAGGACCUGCUGACUAUGACUCAGGAACACGUGGGGCCACGUCCACACUCACAGGAUCCUGGCUUCCGCAGGACCCCCUGGAGGACUCUGGAGGCGCCAUUGGGGGCCACGUCCACAUCAGAAGGGACUCCUCAGAACCACAGGAUGUUCAUCUGCUUUGCUUCUUUAAUUCCACCUAUGAAUGACACCACACGGUCAUUCUCUUUUCCGACUGACCUAUUUCACUUAAGAUGAUCCCUCUACUUCUACCCACGUCAUUGCAAAUGGCAAGAUUUCCUGCUCUUUGAUAGGUGAGUACCAUUCCGCUCUCUAUGGCCAUCAUCUAUCUCACAUCCUCUUUAUCCAUCAUCUGCCAGAGGGCACCGAGGGUCCUCCCAUAUUGUGGCUACUGUGGACCUGGCUGCUGUGGACAUUGGGGUGCCGUUGUCCCACGUCUCACUGCAUCUGUAUCUUCGGAGUGAGCUCCAGGCUUUACACAUGCGGGUCGCAGGGCAGCUCUAUUUGUAACUUCCGGAGGAGCCUCCACACUGUUUCCAUGGUGUCUGCACCAGCCCGCCGUCCCGCCCACAGUGGAAGAGGGUUGAGUGAGUUUUACAGGACGUGGUAAAAGUCUGGUCCACAUUUCAUUUUGCGUCUUUUGGGCUCCAAUUCUUUAUCCUUAAGUAUUUUUGGGGAAGCUGUGUGUUGGGCUCCUUUUCAGUCAGACAUUUCCGAAUCUAACAGGCCACAGAUGGAGCCUGGUAGGAGGCAGAGGUGGGCCCCGGGAUGAGCACGUGCCUCCUUCACAGCCUCCUGUAGUGCCUGAGGAUCCCGCAGGGGGCGCCCAAGCCCAGGCACCGCCCAAGGGGCAGACAUGUGCAGUAGGCCUCGCCUCCCUGCACUAACAUGAGCCAGCCUGUGCUGGGGAGGCCUGAGGAAGAUGUGGGGACAUGUCCAUGCUGAUGAGCCACAGCCUCCUCAGAAUGUGCGGGGAGUCUUCAGGGGGAUAUUGCACAGCGUUCACGCUGACAGGAGCCCCGGUCUCCUCAGGACACACGGUGAAGCUUCAGGAAGAUGUGGGCCCACAUCCACCCUGACAGGAGUCCUUGGGCUGCUUCAGGACCUGCGGGGAGGCUUCAGGGAAUUGUGGGCCCGCACCCACCCUGACAGGAGCCCCUGGGCUGCCUCAGGACCCGCGGGGAGGCUUCAGUAAGAUGUGGGCCCCCAUCCACCCUCACAGGAGCCCCUGGGCCGCCUCAGAACAUGUGGGGAGGCUUCUGAAAGAUGGUGCGCCGCGUCCACUCUGGCAGGAGCUAACUGGCCCCUCAGGACAUAAGUUGAGUCUUCUGGAAGCUGGGGGCCGCAUCCACAGUGACAGGAGCCUCGGCCACCUCAGAGGGCCGCUUCAGGACCUGCAGUGAUGCUUCGGGAGGACGUGGGGCCAUGUCCACACAACCAGACGCUGAUGUCCUCAGGACCCCCGGUGUAGACUUCGGGAAAUAUGGAGAUGCGUCCAUGCGGACAGAAGACCCCAGCCUUGUCAGAGCCUGUGGUGAGGCCUAAGAAAAAUGUGGAUGCCGAAUCCACACUGACAGAAGUCUCCAGCCUCCUCAGGACACGCUGUGAAUGAUUCGGAUGAUUUGGGGCCACGUCCAUUCUGACAAGAGCCCCCAGCCUCCUCAGGUCUUAUGGUGAGGCUGUGGAAAAUGUGGGGCCACGUCAAGACUGAGAGGACCCGCGUCCUCCUCAGGACCUGCACUUUGUCUUCGGGACACAUGAGGCUGCGUCUAGGCUGACAGGAACCCACAGCCUCCUCAGGACCGCGGUGAGUUUUCAGGGGACAUGGGGCCAUGUCCAGGCUGACAGGACCCCCCGGCCUCCUGAGAACCUGCUGUGAGGCUUCCAGAGGAUGUGAGGCAUCCAGAAGGAUGUUCCUCCUCCUUCCAGAGGAGGCAUACUCCACGUUGAGAGGAGACCCGGAGUACUCAGGACCCACUGACUAUGACUCUGGAACACGUGGGGCCACGUCCGCAUUCACAGGAGCCCGGCUUCCUCAGGACCCCCUGGAGGACUCUGGAGGCGACGUUGGGGGCCACGUCCAUGUCAGAAGGGACUCCUCAGAACCAUAGGCAUUUCAUUGUAUGCGGGAGAGUAGCGGAGUGAGAACCAAGUGUCUGCCUUGUCAAUUUCACGCCUAGCGGACAGCUGCCUCCAAGGCAUGCACACUCCUUUGGUUGAGCUUAUGGCUUGUAAAGCCCACAUGCUGACCGCCUGUACGCUUCGCUUCCAAAGGAUAUCGUUCGAUACGGGACAGAAGUUUUGCGAGAGGCAAAUGUGUCUUAGUUCAAUCCAGCAACUUCUGAGGAAUUCCUCCCUCAGAUGGGAGCUACGUACUAACUUCCAAAACUGAGUACCUAGCUGAAAGCUCUCUCUCUGGGGAACUUCUCCCUCGGAGAUGAACUGAAACGUGGUCCUUCCCAGUUCCACACUGCCUGCAGAUGCAGUUACAAACAUCCUCACUAGACAUGUUUUUCACAAGAUCAUGAAAUGCAAGGGGCAAACUGCAGGCUUCAAAGUUGUGUGUCCGGGUGCAGUAAAGCGGUAUUCAUGGAGCAUCCUGAAUUACAAUGCUGCCACGUUCUCAUGGCCAUCAGAACGCAGUUAGUAGAAACCUGGCUUCGAGGCAUGCUUCCAUUUGAAAGCUGAGCUCAGAGCAGGAUCCUCCCGCAUCCUGCCUGCCCGUAGUCGUAGAUGCUAACAUCCUUAUGUUAGGUGCUGGGAGAGGUUGGAGAAAUGCAAGUGGAAGUGUCA